This 429-nucleotide long non-coding RNA is filed under the name Rosa chinensis. RNAcentral's name for it is "sRNA RchiOBHm_Chr4g0436161". The record is from RNAcentral. Lineage: Eukaryota; Viridiplantae; Streptophyta; Magnoliopsida; Rosales; Rosaceae.
CUCCAGUUACCCGGGGAACAGAAGGUUCGUGACUCUCGGAGUACGGGAGAGAAAGCGUCAGAAUCCAGGUUAAUUAUGCUUCGGCUCGUGACAACAAAACUCUUUUUGACAUCGUGAGUCUGAAGGAGCCACUCCUAAGGGUGUCUUAAACGUCAUGAAGGUUGAAGGCUUGACAAUCUAUCAUGUAAAAAGCCAUUUACAGGUAUAUCAAUAGUUCCAUACUUGACUAGUUUUCUUUUGGCUCUAACAAGAUAGUGGUAGUAUAUAUUUUUGCUGGGCUUUUUUUUCUUUUGCAUGUAGCAAUUUUCAGAAAUAUAGAACAGCCACAUACAAACCAGAGUCAUGAUGAGAAGUCAUGAACUGCUUUUGGAACUUGACUGUUAUUUAAAGUCUCAGCAACUAAGUGGCGUUGCAUAUGUCAAUAUUUGA